AUUGAACGCUGGCGGCAGGCCUAACACAUGCAAGUCGAGCGGAUGAAGGGAGCUUGCUCCUGGAUUCAGCGGCGGACGGGUGAGUAAUGCCUAGGAAUCUGCCUGGUAGUGGGGGAUAACGUCCGGAAACGGGCGCUAAUACCGCAUACGUCCUGAGGGAGAAAGUGGGGGAUCUUCGGACCUCACGCUAUCAGAUGAGCCUAGGUCGGAUUAGCUAGUUGGUGGGGUAAAGGCCUACCAAGGCGACGAUCCGUAACUGGUCUGAGAGGAUGAUCAGUCACACUGGAACUGAGACACGGUCCAGACUCCUACGGGAGGCAGCAGUGGGGAAUAUUGGACAAUGGGCGAGAGCCUGAUCCAGCCACGCCGCGUGUGUGAAGAAGGUCUUCGGAUUGUAAAGCACUUUAAGUUGGGAGGAAGGGCAGUAAGUUAAUACCUUGCUGUUUUGACGUUACCAACAGAAUAAGCACCGGCUAACUUCGUG
This 484-nucleotide ribosomal RNA is filed under the name uncultured bacterium. RNAcentral describes it as "partial 16S ribosomal RNA". It matches the Rfam family "Bacterial small subunit ribosomal RNA", at positions 30 to 507 of the family's 1533-position model. The record is from RNAcentral.